This 253-nucleotide ribosomal RNA is filed under the name uncultured bacterium. Its description in RNAcentral is "partial 16S ribosomal RNA". It matches the Rfam family "Bacterial small subunit ribosomal RNA", at positions 524 to 776 of the family's 1533-position model. The record is from RNAcentral.
UACAGAGGGUGCAAGCGUUAAUCGGGAUUACUGGGCGUAAAGCGUGCGUAGACGGUAGCGUAAGUCGGGUGUGAAAGCCCCGGGCUCAACCUGGGAAUUGCAUUCGAGACUGCUCUGCUAGGGUGCGGAAGAGGGAAGCGGAAUUUCCGGUGUAGCGGUGAAAUGCGUAGAUAUCGGAAGGAACACCAGUGGCGAAAGCGGCUUCCUGGUCCAGCACCGACGUUCAGGCACGAAAGCGUGGGGAGCAAACAGG